Molecule: ribosomal RNA, 657 nt
Filed under: uncultured forest soil bacterium
Lineage: Bacteria
Description: bacterial SSU rRNA
Rfam family: Bacterial small subunit ribosomal RNA
Source: RNAcentral
GAGCGCCGUAGCAAUACGGAGCGGCAGACGGGAGAGUAACACGUGGGAACGUGCCCUUUGGUCCGGAACAACCCAGGGAAACUUGGGCUAAUACCGGAUAAGUCCGUAAGGAGAAAGAUCUAUCGCCAAAGGAUCGGCCCGCGUCUGAUUAGCUAGUUGGUGAGGUAACGGCUCACCAAGGCGACGAUCAGUAGCUGGUCUGAGAGGAUGAUCAGCCUCACUGGGACUGAGACACGGCCCAGACUCCUACGGGAGGCAGCAGUGGGGAAUAUUGGACAAUGGGCGCAAGCCUGAUCCAGCCAUGCCGCGUGGAUGAUGAAGGCCCUAGGGUUGUAAAGUCCUUUCGGCGGGGAAGAUAAUGACGGUACCCGCAGAAGAAGCCCCGGCUAACUUCGUGCCAGCAGCCGCGGUAAUACGAAGGGGGCUAGCGUUGCUCGGAAUCACUGGGCGUAAAGCGCACGUAGGCGGCUUUCUAAGUCAGAGGUGAAAUCCUGGAGCUCAACUCCAGAACUGCCUUUGAUACUGGAGAGCUUGAGUCCGGGAGAGGUGAGUGGAACUGCGAGUGUAGAGGUGAAAUUCGUAGAUAUUCGCAAGAACACCAGUGGCGAAGGCGGCUCACUGGCCCGGUACUGACGCUGAGGUGCGAAAGCGUGGGGA